Molecule: ribosomal RNA, 287 nt
Filed under: Salmonella enterica subsp. enterica serovar Derby
Lineage: Bacteria; Pseudomonadati; Pseudomonadota; Gammaproteobacteria; Enterobacterales; Enterobacteriaceae
Also listed under: 3 other names
Description: partial 16S ribosomal RNA
Rfam family: Bacterial small subunit ribosomal RNA
Source: RNAcentral
CCGCCUGGGGAGUACGGCCGCAAGGUUAAAACUCAAAUGAAUUGACGGGGGCCCGCACAAGCGGUGGAGCAUGUGGUUUAAUUCGAUGCAACGCGAAGAACCUUACCUGGUCUUGACAUCCACAGAACUUUCCAGAGAUGGACUGGUGCCUUCGGGAACUGUGAGACAGGUGCUGCAUGGCUGUCGUCAGCUCGUGUUGUGAAAUGUUGGGUUAAGUCCCGCAACGAGCGCAACCCUUAUCCUUUGUUGCCAGCGAUUAGGUCGGGAACUCAAAGGAGACUGCCAGU